This is a long non-coding RNA of Astatotilapia calliptera (eastern happy), 779 nucleotides long. The record is from Ensembl. Lineage: Eukaryota; Metazoa; Chordata; Actinopteri; Cichliformes; Cichlidae.
ACAUGACUGAGCUUCUCUUCCGUUUGUCAGUCGCUUAACUUCAUUACCGAGUGCCUAAGGUGAACUGCGACAGGUGCUUCUAAACCGCUCUCGUCUGGAUUGGUUCAUUAUAAUUUGGGUCAGCGUGAGGAUACGGAGGUGUUUAUUGGCUGCUGGCCUUGGUUUCCUGGCAAACCCCGCCGCGCCCAGCUGAUCAUCUUCCAGACUGGGAGCUGGAGGCGCUCCAGUCUGACACAUGCACAGUACAGUGGAGUCCAGCAGCCACAUGGAAGGAAGGAGGCUGACACACAUAGCAGCACAGGGGGACCAAUGAGACUCCAGGAAAGGGAUGUCGCCGAGCUAUUUUCAUCCUCAAGACUCUGAAUGUGGCAGACCCCGAGAAGCAGGUGCACCUCAUCGAAGCCAGAUUUCAGACCCACCGUCUCCUAGCAACAACACCAGAAGACGAGAGCACCACCAGCUCCACCAGGGCUACUGCUAUUUACCAAAAUGUCGUCUGGCUUUGUUUGGCUGUUUUGUCAUUUUUUUAAAAAAAUGACAAAGAAAGGGGGGGGAAAGUAGGCCACCAGUUCUUGUUAAACUGUUAAAAGCUAAACUGAACUGGUUUAAACACAGAAGACAAACUGGAUUAAGCAUAUAUAUAAAAUAUGUUUUGCAGUGUCUGUGAAGUGCGAUUGAGGGAUGUUCCUCAGGUCACCCCUCAGAACUGUUAAUGCAACAGGCCGCUGUAGGAUUCAUCACUACAGCACAGUAUAUUUAUAUUAAUACCAAGGCUUCCA